GGAUAGCCGCCCGAAAGGACGGGUAAUACCGGAUACCCCGGGGUGCCGCAUGGCACCCCGGCUAAAGCCCCGACGGGAGGGGAUGGCUCCGCGGCCCAUCAGGUAGACGGCGGGGUGACGGCCCACCGUGCCGACAACGGGUAGCCGGGUUGAGAGACCGACCGGCCAGAUUGGGACUGAGACACGGCCCAGACUCCUACGGGAGGCAGCAGUGGGGAAUCUUGCGCAAUGGGGGGAACCCUGACGCAGCGACGCCGCGUGCGGGACGGAGGCCUUCGGGUCGUAAACCGCUUUCAGCAGGGAAGAGUCAAGACUGUACCUGCAGAAGAAGCCCCGGCUAACUACGUGCCAGCAGCCGCGGUAAUACGUAGGGGGCGAGCGUUAUCCGGAUUCAUUGGGCGUAAAGCGCGCGUAGGCGGCCCGGCAGGCCGGGGGUCGAAGCGGGGGGCUCAACCCCCCGAAGCCCCCGGAACCUCCGCGGCUUGGGUCCGGUAGGGGAGGGUGGAACACCCGGUGUAGCGGUGGAAUGCGCAGAUAUCGGGUGGAACACCGGUGGCGAAGGCGGCCCUCUGGGCCGAGACCGACGCUGAGGCGCGAAAGCUGGGGGAGCGAACAGGAUUAGAUACCCUGGUAGUCCCUGCCGUAAACGAUGGACGCUAGGUGUGGGGGGACGAUCCCCCCGUGCCGCAG
RNAcentral lists this ribosomal RNA (690 nucleotides) under uncultured bacterium. RNAcentral's name for it is "partial 16S ribosomal RNA". It matches the Rfam family "Bacterial small subunit ribosomal RNA", at positions 141 to 851 of the family's 1533-position model. The record is from RNAcentral.